UACGGGGGGGGCAAGCGUUGUUCGGAAUUACUGGGCGUAAAGGGUUCGUAGGUGGCCAACUAAGUCAGACGUGAAAUCCCUCAGCUUAACUGGGGAACUGCGUCUGAGACUGGAUGGCUUGAGUGCAGGAGAGGAACGCGGAAUUCCAGGUGUAGCGGUGAAAUGCGUAGAUAUCUGGAGGAACACCGGUGGCGAAGGCGGCGUUCUGGACUGCAACUGACACUGAGGAACGAAAGCCAGGGGAGUAAACGGG
This 253-nucleotide ribosomal RNA is filed under the name uncultured bacterium. Its description in RNAcentral is "partial 16S ribosomal RNA". It matches the Rfam family "Bacterial small subunit ribosomal RNA", at positions 524 to 776 of the family's 1533-position model. The record is from RNAcentral.